GGGGCGGUAGCUCAAUUGGGAGAGCGCUGCGUUCGCAAUGCAGAGGUCGAGGGUUCGACUCCCUUCCGCUCCA
Molecule: transfer RNA, 73 nt
Filed under: Planctomycetota bacterium
Lineage: Bacteria; Pseudomonadati; Planctomycetota
Also listed under: 3 other names
Description: Planctomycetes bacterium (freshwater metagenome) tRNA-Ala
Rfam family: tRNA
About the family: Transfer RNA (tRNA) molecules are approximately 80 nucleotides in length. Their secondary structure includes four short double-helical elements and three loops (D, anti-codon, and T loops).
Source: RNAcentral